This 253-nucleotide ribosomal RNA is filed under the name uncultured bacterium. Its description in RNAcentral is "partial 16S ribosomal RNA". It matches the Rfam family "Bacterial small subunit ribosomal RNA", at positions 524 to 776 of the family's 1533-position model. The record is from RNAcentral.
UACGUAGGGGGCGAGCGUUGUCCGGAUUUACUGGGCGUAAAGAGCGCGCAGGCGGUCGUCCAAGUCGCGUGUGAAAGCCCCCGGCUCAACUGGGGAGGGUCACGCGAUACUGAUCGACUCGAAGGCAGGAGAGGGAAGCGGAAUUCCCGGUGUAGUGGUGAAAUGCGUAGAUAUCGGGAGGAACACCAGUGGCGAAGGCGGCUUCCUGGCCUGUUCUUGACGCUGAGGCGCGAAAGCUAGGGUAGCAAACGGG